AUUCCAGCUCCAAUAGCGUAUAUUAAAGUUGUUGCGGUAAAAAAGCUCGUAGUUGGAUUUCUGUCGAGAACAGCCGGUCACGAUUUUGACGUUGUAUCUGGUUUGGUCUUGGCAUCCUCUUGGGGAACAUUUCUGCGCUUCACUGCGUGGAGUGGUAUUCAAGACUUUUACUUUGAGGAAAUUAGAGUGUUCACGGCAGGCAAUCGCCCUGAAUAUAUUAGCAUGGAAUAAUGAUAUAGGACCUUGGUUCUAUUUUGUUGGUUUCUAGAACUAAGGUAAUGACUAAUAGGGACAAUUGGGGGCAUUCGUAUUAACGCGUCAGAGGUGGAAUUCUUAGAUUGCGUUACGACGAACUACUGCGAAAGCAUUUGCCAAGGAUGUUUUCAUCA
RNAcentral lists this ribosomal RNA (389 nucleotides) under Syndiniales sp. RNAcentral's name for it is "partial small subunit ribosomal RNA". It matches the Rfam family "Eukaryotic small subunit ribosomal RNA", at positions 582 to 975 of the family's 1831-position model. The record is from RNAcentral. Lineage: Eukaryota; Dinophyceae; Syndiniales.